RNAcentral lists this ribosomal RNA (301 nucleotides) under uncultured bacterium. Its description in RNAcentral is "partial 16S ribosomal RNA". It matches the Rfam family "Bacterial small subunit ribosomal RNA", at positions 509 to 810 of the family's 1533-position model. The record is from RNAcentral.
CAGCGCCACGGUAAUACAGAGGGUGCGAGCGUUAAUCGGAUUUACUGGGCGUAAAGCGUGCGUAGGCGGCUUUUUAAGUCGGAUGUGAAAUCCCUGAGCUUAACUUAGGAAUUGCAUUCGAUACUGGGAAGCUAGAGUAUGGGAGAGGAUGGUAGAAUUCCAGGUGUAGCGGUGAAAUGCGUAGAGAUCUGGAGGAAUACCGAUGGCGAAGGCAGCCAUCUGGCCUAAUACUGACGCUGAGGUACGAAAGCAUGGGGAGCAAACAGGAUUAGAUACCCCCGUAGUCCCUGUCUUUAUACAC